GACGAACGCUGGCGGCGUGCUUAACACAUGCAAGUCGAACGGAAAGGCCCUGCUUUUGUGGGGUGCUCGAGUGGCGAACGGGUGAGUAACACGUGAGUAACCUGCCCUUGACUUUGGGAUAACUUCAGGAAACUGGGGCUAAUACCGGAUAGGAGCUCCUGCUGCAUGGUGGGGGUUGGAAAGUUUCGGCGGUUGGGGAUGGACUCGCGGCUUAUCAGCUUGUUGGUGGGGUAGUGGCUUACCAAGGCUUUGACGGGUAGCCGGCCUGAGAGGGUGACCGGCCACAUUGGGACUGAGAUACGGCCCAGACUCCUACGGGAGGCAGCAGUGGGGAAUAUUGCACAAUGGGCGGAAGCCUGAUGCAGCAACGCCGCGUGCGGGAUGACGGCCUUCGGGUUGUAAACCGCUUUCGCCUGUGACGAAGCGUGAGUGACGGUAAUGGGUAAAGAAGCACCGGCUAACUACGUGCCAGCAGCCGCGGUGAUACGUAGGGUGCGAGCGUUGUCCGGAUUUAUUGGGCGUAAAGGGCUCGUAGGUGGUUGAUCGCGUCGGAAGUGUAAUCUUGGGGCUUAACCCUGAGCGUGCUUUCGAUACGGGUUGACUUGAGGAAGGUAGGGGAGAAUGGAAUUCCUGGUGGAGCGGUGGAAUGCGCAGAUAUCAGGAGGAACACCAGUGGCGAAGGCGGUUCUCUGGGCCUUUCCUGACGCUGAGGAGCGAAAGCGUGGGGAGCGAACAGGCUUAGAUACCCUGGUAGUCCACGCUGUAAACGGUGGGUACUAGGUGUGGGGUCCAUUCCACGGGUUCCGUGCCGUAGCUAACGCUAUAAGUACCCCGCCUGGGGAGUACGGCCGCAAGGCUAAAACUCAAAGGAAUUGACGGGGCCCCGCACAAGCGGCGGAGCAUGCGGAUUAAUUCGAUGCAACGCGUAGAACCUUACCUGGGUUUGACAUGGAUCGGGAGUGCUCAGAGAUGGGUGUGCCUCUUUUGGGGUCGGUUCACAGGUGGUGCAUGGCUGUCGUCAGCUCGUGUCGUGAGAUGUUGGGUUAAGUCCCGCAACGAGCGCAACCCUUGUUCACUGUUGCCAGCACGUUAUGGUGGGGACUCAGUGGAGACCGCCGGGGUCAACUCGGAGGAAGGUGGGGAUGACGUCAAGUCAUCAUGCCCCUUAUGUCCAGGGCUUCACGCAUGCUACAAUGGCUGGUACAGAGAGUGGCGAGCCUGUGAGGGUGAGCGAAUCUCGGAAAGCCGGUCUCAGUUCGGAUUGGGGUCUGCAACUCGACCUCAUGAAGUCGGAGUCGCUAGUAAUCGCAGAUCAGCAACGCUGCGGUGAAUACGUUCCCGGGGCU
This 1346-nucleotide ribosomal RNA is filed under the name uncultured bacterium. RNAcentral describes it as "partial 16S ribosomal RNA". It matches the Rfam family "Bacterial small subunit ribosomal RNA", at positions 28 to 1381 of the family's 1533-position model. The record is from RNAcentral.